This is a long non-coding RNA of Solanum pennellii, 655 nucleotides long. RefSeq lists it as uncharacterized. The record is from RefSeq and is a predicted model, not a curated record. NCBI's taxonomy places the organism in Eukaryota, Viridiplantae, Streptophyta, Magnoliopsida, Solanales, Solanaceae. The transcript is spliced from 3 exons.
GCGCCUAUUCGAAAAGUUUACAAACGCCUUUCAAAUUCCAUCAAUGUCUAUAUAAUGCAUUGCAGACUCCAACACAACCAUUAGCGAUAACCAAUCACUGCAUUCCUUUAAUAAAAUAUAAUUGAUCUUUCUCUAACCUAUAAUUGUUAAAACCAUAUGGUCUAUUCACUUCUUUCAGAUUUGGACACUACAAGGGAUGAUUGAUUGGUUAAGGUACGAGUUUGCCGGAUGUGGGAAUUUAAAAAUCCCAAUAGAAGCAACGAGAUGAUAAGUUUGGACAUGAUACUUAUUAACGAAAAGGGAACUUUGAUACACGCAGUUAUAUGGAAGAAUCAUGUGAAUAGGUUUCGUGCUGAUAUAGACGAAGGCUCUAUGAUAAUUAUCAGGAACUUUAAGGUGUCUGAAAGUAUGGGUGAAUACAGACCCAUACAAUCUGAUGUUAAAUAACUUUUCUGCGGAUAACUGUCAUACAAAAAAUAAGGAUGAUACUGCUAAUAUCCCUAAAAAUGGAUUCCAAUUUAUUCAGCCAAACAUUUUUUCGACCAAGGGUCAAUAAAAAGACCUACCUAUCAGAUGUGAUCGGAUGCAUAUGUGGGAUAGGUGAUCUAGAGAGUGUUGGCUCAAAGUGGGAAAAAUGAGACUUACACAUUCUUAC